Molecule: unclassified non-coding RNA, 172 nt
Filed under: uncultured Phaeoisaria
Lineage: Eukaryota; Fungi; Ascomycota; Sordariomycetes; Xylariales; Diatrypaceae
Description: sequence contains ITS1
Source: RNAcentral
CAGGGUCUAACGACUGCCCAAAACCAACCGUGCUCCUUUCCUUUUAUCUUGCUUCGGUGAUCGCCUGCUGGGGAGGCCACCGGCCGGGCGUCUUGCCUGGUGGUUGCCGGAGCAUACCAACCAAAACUUUACUUAGUAACUAUCUUCUGAGAACUUUCUAUAUGAAAAAUCA